GACUACUGGGGUAUCUAAGCCGGUUCGCUCCCCACGCUUUCGUGCCUCAGCGUCAGAAAUGGUCCAGUAACCUGCCUACGCCAUUGGUGUUCCUUCUAAUAUCUACGGAUUUCACUCCUACACUAGAAAUUCCAGUUACCUCUACCACUCUCGAGUUAGCCAGUUCGAAUAAUAGUCUGUAUGGUUGAGCCACCAGGUUUCACUAUUCGCUUAACUAACCGCCUACGCAACUCUUUACGCCCAGUCACUCCGGAUAACGCUUGGGUCCUACGUAUGACCGCGGCUGCUGGCACGUAGUUAGCCGACCCUUAUUCAUUUGUUACCGUCAUAUUCUUCACAAAUAAAAGCAGUUUACGACCCGAAGGCCUUCAUCCUGCACGCGGCGUUGCUCCAUCAGGGUUGCCCCCAUUGUGGAAGAUUCCUCACUGCUGCCCCCCGUAGG
This 442-nucleotide ribosomal RNA is filed under the name uncultured bacterium. RNAcentral's name for it is "partial 16S ribosomal RNA". The record is from RNAcentral.